Molecule: ribosomal RNA, 484 nt
Filed under: uncultured bacterium
Lineage: Bacteria
Description: bacterial SSU rRNA
Rfam family: Bacterial small subunit ribosomal RNA
Source: RNAcentral
GACGAACGCUGGCGGCGCGCCUAACACAUGCAAGUCGAACGGAGCUUGUUUUUCUGAAGUUUUCGGAUGGACGAAGGAUAAGCUUAGUGGCGAACGGGUGAGUAACGCGUGGGUAACCUGCCUUUUAGAGGGAGACAACAGUUGGAAACGACUGCUAAUACCGCAUAAGACCACGGUACCGCAUGGUACAGUGAUCAAAGGAGCAAUCCGCUAAAAGAUGGGCCCGCGUCUGAUUAGAUAGUUGGUGGGGUAACGGCCUACCAAGUCAACGAUCAGUAGCCGGACUGAGAGGUUGAUCGGCCACAUUGGGACUGAGACACGGCCCAGACUCCUACGGGAGGCAGGCAGUGGGGAAUAUUGCACAAUGGGGGAAACCCUGAUGCAGCGACGCCGCGUGAGGGAAGAAGGUAUUCGUAUUGUAAACCUCUGUCUUCGGGGACGAUAAUGACGGUACCCGAGGAGGAAAGCACCGGCUAACUACGUG